This 375-nucleotide ribosomal RNA is filed under the name uncultured bacterium. RNAcentral's name for it is "bacterial SSU rRNA". It matches the Rfam family "Bacterial small subunit ribosomal RNA", at positions 521 to 896 of the family's 1533-position model. The record is from RNAcentral.
UAAUACGUAGGCAGCAAGCGUUGUUCGGAAUUACUGGGCGUAAAGCGUGCGUAGGCGGUUGGCUAAGUUUGGUGUGAAAUCUCCCGGCUCAACUGGGAGGGUGCGCCGAAAACUGGCCGGCUAGAGUGCGGGAGAGGGAAGUGGAAUUCCUGGUGUAGCGGUGAAAUGCGUAGAUAUCAGGAGGAACACCUGUGGUGUAGACGGCUUCCUGGACCGUGACUGACGCUGAGGCACGAAAGCGUGGGGAGCAAACAGGAUUAGAUACCCUGGUAGUCCACGCCCUAAACGAUGCAGACUUGGUGUGCGCCCUUCAUUGGGUGCGUGCCGUAGCUAACGCGUUAAGUCUGCCGCCUGGGGAGUACGGUCGCAAGGCUG